GCCUUCUUAGCUAAGUGGUAUAGCGCUGGUCUCGUAUGCGUAACGAUUGUUAUAUCUAACGGGAGGUGACCAGAGGUAACCAGAGGUCGGGAGUUCAAUUCUCUCAGGAGGCA
Molecule: transfer RNA, 113 nt
Filed under: Daphnia pulex (common water flea)
Lineage: Eukaryota; Metazoa; Arthropoda; Branchiopoda; Diplostraca; Daphniidae
Rfam family: tRNA
About the family: Transfer RNA (tRNA) molecules are approximately 80 nucleotides in length. Their secondary structure includes four short double-helical elements and three loops (D, anti-codon, and T loops).
Source: Rfam by way of RNAcentral